This 211-nucleotide long non-coding RNA is filed under the name Salvia miltiorrhiza (redroot sage). RNAcentral's name for it is "long non-coding RNA (SMIL_LNC012678)". Lineage: Eukaryota; Viridiplantae; Streptophyta; Magnoliopsida; Lamiales; Lamiaceae. The record is from RNAcentral.
UUUAAUGAAAUAUCUUCGACGAACUUGUUUAAACAUCUUUUCAUGAUUUAUAACAAAUUUAUGAAGUGCUGUUUGUUGAGAUUACAAAAAAAAAAAAACAAUUUUUUGUCUUUUCUUUAAUUUUUCAUAACCAUUUUCGUAUUUUCUAUUAGAUAUAAUUUUUUUAAUAUAAUUUAACAAAAAAUCCUACAAUAAAAGACCACAACUACCC